RNAcentral lists this ribosomal RNA (251 nucleotides) under uncultured prokaryote. RNAcentral describes it as "partial 16S rRNA". It matches the Rfam family "Bacterial small subunit ribosomal RNA", at positions 525 to 775 of the family's 1533-position model. The record is from RNAcentral.
ACGGGGGUUGCAAGCGUUGUCCGGAUUUAUUGGGCUUAAAGGGUAGGUAGGCGGCUCUAUAAGUUUGUUGUGAAAUCCUGCAGCUCACCUGUAGAACAGCAAUUGAAACUGAAGAGCUGGAGUACUCUUGAGGUAGGCGGAAUGUGUAGUGUAGCGUUGAAAUGCUUAGAGAUUACGCGGAACACCGAUUGCGAAGGCAGCUUACUAAGGAUUUACUGACGCUAAUCUGCGAAAGCGUGUGUAUCAAACAG